GGAGCCAUAGCUCAAUUGGUUAGAGCGCUGCCCUGUCACGGCAGAGGUCGCGGGUUCGAGUCCCGUUGGCUCCGCCA
Molecule: transfer RNA, 77 nt
Filed under: Candidatus Peribacteria bacterium RIFCSPHIGHO2_02_FULL_51_15
Lineage: Bacteria; Candidatus Peregrinibacteriota; Candidatus Peribacteria
Also listed under: 4 other names
Description: tRNA-Asp
Rfam family: tRNA
About the family: Transfer RNA (tRNA) molecules are approximately 80 nucleotides in length. Their secondary structure includes four short double-helical elements and three loops (D, anti-codon, and T loops).
Source: RNAcentral